GCUACCCCGGGGAUAACAGGCUUAUCUCCCCCAAGAGUUCACAUCGACGGGGAGGUUUGGCACCUCGAUGUCGGCUCAUCGCAUCCUGGGGCUGUAGUCGGUCCCAAGGGUUGGGCUGUUCGCCCAUUAAAGCGGUACGCGAGCUGGGUUCAGAACGUCGUGAGACAGUUCGGUCCCUAUCCGUCGUGGGCGUAGGAAAUUUGAGAGGAGCUGUCCUUAGUACGAGAGGACCGGGAUGGACAUACCUCUGGUGUACCAGUUGUCGUGCCAACGGCAUAGCUGGGUAGCUAUGUAUGGACGGGAUAAGUGCUGAAAGCAUCUAAGCAUGAAGCCCCCCUCAAGAUGAGAUUUCCCAACUUCGGUUAUAAGAUCCCUCGAAGAUGACGAGGUUAAUAGGUUCGAGGUGGAAGCGUGGUGACACGUGGAGCUGACGAAUACUAAUCGAUCGAAGACUUAAUCAA
Molecule: ribosomal RNA, 461 nt
Filed under: Staphylococcus epidermidis NIHLM018
Lineage: Bacteria; Bacillati; Bacillota; Bacilli; Caryophanales; Staphylococcaceae
Description: bacterial LSU rRNA
Rfam family: Bacterial large subunit ribosomal RNA
Source: RNAcentral